Molecule: ribosomal RNA, 546 nt
Filed under: Pichia kluyveri
Lineage: Eukaryota; Fungi; Ascomycota; Pichiomycetes; Pichiales; Pichiaceae
Description: eukaryotic LSU rRNA
Rfam family: Eukaryotic large subunit ribosomal RNA
Source: RNAcentral
AAACCAACAGGGGAUUGCCUCAGUAGCGGCGAGUGAAGCGGCAAGAGCUCAGAUUUGAAAUCUCACCUAGUGUGCGAGUUGUAAAUUGCAGGUUGGAGUCUCGGGUUAGACGUGUGUGCAAGUCCCUUGGAACAGGGUGCCACUGAGGGUGAGAGCCCCGUAGCGUGCAUGUCGACACCUGUGAGGCCCUUCUGACGAGUCGAGUUGUUUGGGAAUGCAGCUCUAAGUGGGUGGUAAAUUCCAUCUAAGGCUAAAUAUUGGCGAGAGACCGAUAGCGAACAAGUACUGUGAAGGAAAGAUGAAAAGCACUUUGAAAAGAGAGUGAAACAGCACGUGAAAUUGUUGAAAGGGAAGGGUAUUGGGCUCGACAUGGGAUUUACGCAUCGUUGCCUCUCGUGGGCGGCGCUCUGGGUUUUUCCUGGGCCAGCAUCGGUUUUCGUUGCAGGAUAAGGACAAUUGGAAUGUGGCUCCUCCGAGUGUUAUAGCCUUUUGUAGAUGCUGCGUAUGGGGACCGAGGGCUGCGGCGGACUCGUUUCGUCUCGUAUG